Long non-coding RNA from Pollicipes pollicipes, 293 nucleotides. RefSeq lists it as uncharacterized. The record is from RefSeq and is a predicted model, not a curated record. The transcript is spliced from 3 exons. NCBI's taxonomy places the organism in Eukaryota, Metazoa, Arthropoda, Thecostraca, Pollicipedomorpha, Pollicipedidae.
GUCAGUCGGGUCAGGCGGGGCAGAGGCCGCCGGGUGUGGAGCGUCUCAAAGACAGUGGAGCUCAAUUUAAAGCUGGUCAGCUGCGGAAUUCAUGUUUGGAAGCUUUUCAAGCCUUAUUCACUGUUUUACAAACGCUGCACGGGUUUCAUCAAGCUUCUGAAAAGACGGACCAGUAUGAGUUACCGGCGCGGCAGUCCGUCACUCGUCCAUCGUCACCAUGACAACACGCCGUCCCGGUCCAACUGCCACGUGACUGUCAUCGCCAAUCCGAGCUGCCCGCUCAAUUCGGGAUC